GACGAACGCUGGCGGCGUGCUUAACACAUGCAAGUCGAACGGAAAGGCCCUGCUUUUGUGGGGUGCUCGAGUGGCGAACGGGUGAGUAACACGUGAGUAACCUGCCCUUGACUUUGGGAUAACUUCAGGAAACUGGGGCUAAUACCGGAUAGGAGCUCCUGCUGCAUGGUGGGGGUUGGAAAGUUUCGGCGGUUGGGGAUGGACUCGCGGCUUAUCAGCUUGUUGGUGGGGUAGUGGCUUACCAAGGCUUUGACGGGUAGCCGGCCUGAGAGGGUGACCGGCCACAUUAGGACUGGAAUACGGCCCAGACUCCUACCGGAGGCGACAGUGGAGAAGAUUGCACAAUGGGCGGAAGCCUGAUGCAGCAACGCCGCGUGCGGGAUGACGGCCUUCGGGUUGUAAACCGCUUUCGCCUGUGACGAGGCGUGAGUGACGGUAAUGGGUAAAGAAGCACCGGCUAACUACGUG
This 468-nucleotide ribosomal RNA is filed under the name uncultured bacterium. RNAcentral describes it as "partial 16S ribosomal RNA". It matches the Rfam family "Bacterial small subunit ribosomal RNA", at positions 28 to 507 of the family's 1533-position model. The record is from RNAcentral.